UUUCCGUAGGUGAACCUGCGGAAGGAUCAUUACUGAGUGAGGGCCCCUCGGGGUCCAACCUCCCACCCGUGUUUAACGAAUCUUGUUGCUUCGGCGGGCCCGCCUCACGGCCGCCGGGGGGCAUCUGCCCCCGGGCCCGCGCCCGCCGAAGCCACCUGUGAACGCUGUCUGAAGUAUGCAGUCUGAGACAAUUAUUAAAUUAAUUAAAACUUUCAACAACGGAUCUCUUGGUUCCG
RNAcentral lists this unclassified non-coding RNA (236 nucleotides) under plant metagenome. RNAcentral describes it as "partial contains small subunit ribosomal RNA, internal transcribed spacer 1, and 5.8S ribosomal RNA". The record is from RNAcentral.